Molecule: long non-coding RNA, 394 nt
Filed under: Gallus gallus (chicken)
Lineage: Eukaryota; Metazoa; Chordata; Aves; Galliformes; Phasianidae
Source: RNAcentral
CUUUCAGGACUAUUGGACAGAUGGGAAGUAGUCUGUCAUUUGAAGAAUUAUUUUUGGUUUACAACGUUUGUUUCUCAAGUAGAAUGACAUGCUUCCCUCUUCUCCAAAGUAGUGGAGUGUUGGUGGAAAAGGGGAGACACAUAAGAAUUAAUAGAUGCUGUUUCCCAAGAAAAGUCAGAUUUCUGAAUCACAAGCCAGAAGGUGAGGUGUCUUAGUCCUUCAGUUGUGAAACUUCAUAGAGGUAUGCGCCAAGCAUCUUCACUCCCUGAAUGUAGUUGUACCUGUUCAGUUUCUCAUUUUGAGAGUGGGCACCAUCAUCAGCAGCACCAACAGGAAGCAGCAUGACAUUCUUGCCUGUUGCUUCUUGAAAAGUGAGGGUAACAGGAAUGCUUCC